Molecule: ribosomal RNA, 429 nt
Filed under: Chloroflexota bacterium
Lineage: Bacteria; Bacillati; Chloroflexota
Description: Chloroflexi bacterium partial 16S ribosomal RNA
Rfam family: Bacterial small subunit ribosomal RNA
Source: RNAcentral
UGGGGAAUAUUGCACAAUGGGCGCAAGCCUGAUGCAGCCAUGCCGCGUGUGUGAAGAAGGCCUUCGGGUUGUAAAGCACUUUCAGCGGGGAGGAAGGCGAUAAGGUUAAUAACCUUGUCGAUUGACGUUACCCGCAGAAGAAGCACCGGCUAACUCCGUGCCAGCAGCCGCGGUAAUACGGCGGGUGCAAGCGUUAAUCGGAAUUACUGGGCGUAAAGCGCACGCAGGCGGUCUGUCAAGUCGGAUGUGAAAUCCCCGGGCUUAACCUGGGAACUGCAUUCGAAACUGGCAGGCUAGAGUCUUGUAGAGGGGGGUAGAAUUCCAGGUGUAGCGGUGAAAUGCGUAGAGAUCUGGAGGAAUACCGGUGGCGAAGGCGGCCCCCUGGACAAAGACUGACGCUCAGGUGCGAAAGCGUGGGGAGCAAACAGG